This 301-nucleotide ribosomal RNA is filed under the name uncultured bacterium. RNAcentral's name for it is "partial 16S ribosomal RNA". It matches the Rfam family "Bacterial small subunit ribosomal RNA", at positions 509 to 809 of the family's 1533-position model. The record is from RNAcentral.
CAGUCGCCGCGGGAAUACGUAGGGUGCAAGCGUUAAUCGGAAUUACUGGGCGUAAAGCGUGCGCAGGCGGUUAUAUAAGACAGAUGUGAAAUCCCCGGGCUCAACCUGGGAACUGCAUUUGUGACUGUAUAGCUAGAGUACGGCAGAGGGGGAUGGAAUUCCGCGUGUAGCAGUGAAAUGCGUAGAUAUGCGGAGGAACACCGAUGGCGAAGGCAAUCCCCUGGGCCUGUACUGACGCUCAUGCACGAAAGCGUGGGGAGCAAACAGGAUUAGAUACCCCCGUAGUCCCUGUCUCUUAUAU